AUUGAACGCUGGCGGCAUGCCUUACACAUGCAAGUCGAACGGCAGCACGGGUGCUUGCACCUGGUGGCGAGUGGCGAACGGGUGAGUAAUAUAUCGGAACGUACCUUAUCGUGGGGGAUAACGCAGCGAAAGCUGCGCUAAUACCGCAUACGCCCUGAGGGGGAAAGCGGGGGACCGUAAGGCCUCGCGCGAUUAGAGCGGCCGAUAUCUGAUUAGCUUGUUGUGGGGUAAAGCCCACCAAGGCGACGAUCAGUAGCUGGUCUGAGAGGACGAUCAGCCACACUGGGACUGAGACACGGCCCAGACUCCUACGGGAGGCAGCAGUGGGGAAUUUUGGACAAUGGGGGCAACCCUGAUCCAGCAAUGCCGCGUGAGUGAAGAAGGCCUCGGUGUAAGACUCUUUUGUUCUAGGGAAGAAACAAGCAGCUCUGGGUU
This 435-nucleotide ribosomal RNA is filed under the name uncultured bacterium. RNAcentral's name for it is "bacterial SSU rRNA". It matches the Rfam family "Bacterial small subunit ribosomal RNA", at positions 30 to 467 of the family's 1533-position model. The record is from RNAcentral.